ACACCGAACAAGGCGGGGGGCCGUCCCGGGGCCGCCGUUGCAGGGCCGGCGCUGCGGGGGCGGGACGUGGGGCGGGCAACCGCACGGGGGCCACGGGGGUGGGGGUGCCUCUCCAGCCCCCGGGCCCCCGGGGUGGCCCCGCCCGGUGCUGGCGCAGCUGCACGCCGGCCUCGCCUUAAGGAGAGUCCCCACCAGGCUUCCCAAGAGGCGGCCGACCCCAUCGUCUCUGCCUGGGCCUUUCGCAUUACCGUUGAUUCAGCAAGGAGAACUCCCGGUGUCGCCGCGGGGUCCCCGAGGCAAUCGCCUACCGGGCACCCCAAGCCUCCUGGGACUACUCGCGGAGGACCAGCACCCACCUCUGCAAGAAGUCACGGAGGGGAACGAACCAAGCUUGAAGGCACUGGGCAGAAGCCAGUGCCUAUGGACAGUUAGCGGAUGUUCGACCAACUGGCCAAUGGGGGCCCCCCAAAGAUAACCAUCGCUUGCCUUAUGUCACACGAGCAAGCUAACCUAAACUCAAUGUGUGAGAUGAGAAGAAAGAGAAGGAUGAGCAGACACGAGCAGUAAGAAUUUUGAAAAGCGAUCGAAUUUGGCUUCUGAUCAAUACAGAUCAGUUGAGGGAAGACGUGUGGCAGAAACCCAAAGCAAAUUUGGGAAAAUCAGGAGCACAGGUAGGUUGUGACAUAAUAAAUUGCCUUGGAUGUAAGACAGAAGCUUCAUAAAAGAAAGCAAAAGGCAGCAAAGAUAAUCGCCUACGAGAAAGUUACCACAGCAGAGGCAUGCUUGGGGAGACCCAGGGAGAAAGAAGGGCCACAGACACCAUCAGCAGCAAAGCGGUAAGGUUGUAUCGGCUGGCAGCUCCCCCUUCGCGAACUUUAUAAAAGCACUUACAAGUGCUUUCUGAUUCCUGAUUCGAUUGUAUGAUUUCAAUACGUCACCCAUCUGAUCAUUACUGAGGACUGUUCCAUGUGACCUUCCUCCACAGACUAUAAGGGGCUAGUAAGGAGGUAAGACCGUACUUUACGGUGCCAGGAAGUGCCCAGAAGGGAGAGAGAGCUCACCUCCACCUGAAGGAGUAGGUCUUUAUUUCUUAACAAAAAUUAAUUUGCUAAUACCCAAAUAUCUACAUUUUGAGAAAAAUUUAGUUGCGGCCAUUUCUUGAUUUGCAGAUUUGGGGAGCAAAUCCAGGGAAGAGGAAGCAUACUUUCAUUAUUUUUUUAAACGUUUAUGACACAUUUCAAACAAACGCAAGAGCAGAGAAACUAAACGAAAUUAAACGAUGAACCCACAAUUGUCAGUUUUUUCCCAACCCUUCUCAGCAACUUUUCGGAGUGUUUUAAAGCAAACCUCACAUAUGCUGUUUCGUGCAAAAACUAUUUGACUAUGUACCCAUAACAAACAAGGGCUUCAAAAUAACUACACUAUCGUUAUCCCUACUAACAAAACGAACAACAAUUCCUUCACUGAAUUCUCAGUCCAUGUGAAAAUCUCCCCGCCUGUCUCCUAACGAUCUUUUUAUACUGCUUUGCCGGUAUCAGGAUCCAAACAAGGUGUUCGCGCUGCGUUUACUGAACGUGAAUUUGGAUUCAACCCAGUCUAUCCAUUUGGGUGAUACCUACCAGAGAUCAUGCAUUCAACACAUGGGCUCAUGGAGCUGGCUGUCGUCCCAGCACUUAGAAGGGCCACAGACCUGGACCCAGCACUGGCCCACUCUUAAGGCAGUGGAGGGGCCAGCAUCUGGCACAGAGGAAGAAAAAAGUGCAGAGGCCAGAAAGGCAGAGAUGCGGGACCCUGGUCUAUCACGGACUCCCCACCCCCCGGGCCGGGUCUCCCAAACCAGGUGAUGGGAGUGGCAGCAACUUUUCUAAGCACUGUACUGCUCAUCUGCCUAGGCGAGGGAAGUCGGCGAGAGAGGCCUCUGUUGCACGGAAGCCCGGGACCCCCAUGGAGCUUCGCCUGUCAAAACUGAAUUUAUUCCCCCAAGAGAGAAGUCCUUCCACCAGAGCUCGCAGGCCUGGCCCCACUGGAUUAGAACCAAGGCCGGCCAUUUUUGCCGCCCUGUGCACUGGGGAAAAUGAGCACCCAAGAUAGACAUGGACGUCUUUUGUGGUCACUGCCACCACUGUUUCCCAACUGGACUUAUGCAACAGUGUCCAAACCAGUCUCCCCUCCUCUGCCUUUUCUCCCCCACACUGUCCUUCCUCUCUAAAGCUUAAAUCAGUGCCUUUCACUCCCCGGCUGGCAACGGCUUCCGGUUUCACUUCGAAUAAUGCCAAGUCCUACCCAAGACCUGCAGUGCCCUUUCUGUCCGGCCGCAGCCUCCCCACCAGACUGCAACGCCCUCUUCUGCCCUUGUGUCUUGAACUCCGGUCACGCUGGCCCUCUCGCGGAACCUCAGACACAUCAAGUUCCAGUCUAACGUUGGGCCCCUGAUGUUCCUUCCACUGGGACUUCUCCUCCCUCAGAUCUUUGGCUCUCACUCACCUUUAAAGCCUCCACUCCAGUGUCACCUCCUUAGGGACACUAGGUCACCCUCUGCUGUGCCCGUUGCCACACUCUCUGCUGUAUCACCCACGUUCUUCUCUCGGGAGCCAUCAUUACGGCCUGAGAUCAUGCUCUUUACUGACUUACUGAAUUGGUUUCAAUACUGGAAUGUGAAGUUUGUGAUGCUUUAUCCUCUGCUGUAUUUCCAAAUGGUAAAACCAGUGCCUGGAAGGCUCAGGUUGGUGCUCCACACAUUUUUUUUUUCUUUAUAGAUGGGCUGCUUUUUUGACUAAGGGAGGCAAAUAAGUAAGACUACUGCGACUCUAAGCGAGCAGAACCACUAAGAGCCCCACACGACGGAGUGAAGGUCUGGGCCACCUCAGCUGGCAAAGAACACUACCAGGUAAGGUACUGGGCAGGGGCCAGGGGAGCAUGCAACAGCAAUGAGAUGAGCAAAGUCAAAAACAGCAGGUAUGACCUUGCAACCAGAAGCAGGAGGGAUUUCCUUUUGUGGUACCAUGUAUAUAUACAUAAUAUUUAUUUUCUAUUUCCUUUCCUCCCCGCCCCCACCUCUUUCCAUUAUGAUUAUGGCAUGUUGCUUAAAUUUACCUCUGGGUUUACGGAGUGGAAAAGGCAUUGCAGAACUGCAGAAGAAACGGAUAUGACUUGGGGAGGGGGGCCUAGACUUGGACAUGUUUGCAGUAACUGACAAGCUUUUGAGUUGUCUCCCUCUAGGGAAAGACUCAGCGGGGGCUGAAUUAUGCAUCAUGUUAGAAUGACAUUUUUUUAGACAUGACUACCCUCCACGUGUCCUCAGUUUUCUUUAUAAUACUGCCUGCCGUAUUACAGAGUCAUUUGUUAACUCAUUAUCCCCUCACCAGAGUGUAAGUGAUUUAAGGGCUUUUGCUCACUCCUGUAAUCUGGCACAUGGGAAGCACUCAACAGCUACUGAAUAUAUGAAUGAAUGAAUGAAUGAAUGAAUGAAUGAAUGAAGAGAGAACCUGUUCAGGAUCUAUUUCUAUUUGUUUUUUUUUUUUAAUGUUUGUUUAUUUAUUUUGAGAGAGAGAAUCCCACACAAGUGACAUGGGGAUCCAUCUCACGAACAGCGAGAUCAUGAGCUGGGCUGAAAUCAAGAGUCGGAUGCUUCCCCGACUGAGCAACCCAGACACCCCUAUUUCUAACACUACUUGGACUUCCUCUAAGGGAAUGACCUCCCUUCCAUUGUGUUCAGCUUCGGUGACAGGGACCCAGGUACCUGCCUCCUAAUAUGGAAGGCAAAGGGUCUCUGGAGGCACCCAGACCUUGUGCUUGUCCCAGCGGCACCAGGUGGCAGACACACCACCUAAGCUUCAAGAAUCGAUUUCUCGGGGCACCUGGGUGGCUCAGUCGGUCAAGCGUCCAACUUUAGCUCAGGUCAUGAUCUCGCGGUUCAUGGUUUUGAAUCCCACAUCAGGCUCUGUGCUGAUGGCUCAGAGCCUGGAGCCUGCUUUGGAUUCUGUGUCUCCCUCUCUCUCUGCCCCUCCCCUACUUGUGCUCUGUCCCUCAAAAAUAAAUAAUAACCAUUAAAAAUUUUUUUAAAAAAGAAAGAAAGAAAAAAUAAUUGAUUUCUCUAUCCUGGGACUUUGACUCUUGAGUGACUAAAGGGCAGGAGGAAUGGUUCUUCACUCAUUCCCAGGGGUGGCAUUAUACCUUCCUACUACACGCCUUUCUUGGCUUCUUGCAUGUGGUUCCUUGCUUCCCAGGAACAACCCUGACUGCCAUCCAUUUCCCAGACUGGUCCUCUAGCCAUUUUCAACUCUGGGUACACCUAACAUCCUUCCAAUAAAUUCUCU
Molecule: long non-coding RNA, 4316 nt
Organism: Acinonyx jubatus (cheetah)
Lineage: Eukaryota; Metazoa; Chordata; Mammalia; Carnivora; Felidae
Exons: 3
Source: RefSeq, a predicted model, not a curated record